GGAUACGCUCUGGAAACGGAGAACAAAUCCCGAUGUACAGGAAGGAGGCAUCUUCUUUCUGUGAAACAUCCUUUAGGGGAUGGGGCGCGGAUGGACCUGCGGUGCAUUAGUUGGUUGGCGGGGUAAAGGCCCACCAAGACGAUGAUGCAUAGCCGGCCUGAGAGGGCGGACGGCCACAUUGGGACUGAGACACGGCCCAGACUCCUGCGGGAGGCAGCAGUAGGGAAUUUUCGUCAAUGGGCGCAAGCCUGAACGAGCGAUGCCGCGUGAGUGAAGAAGGCCUUCGGGUCGUAAAGCUCUGUUGCGGGGGAAAAAAGGCAGCAUCAGGAAAUGGGUGCUGACUGAUGGUGCCCCGCCAGAAAGUCACGGCUAACUACGUGCCAGCAGCCGCGGUAAUACGUAGGUGGCGAGCGUUAUCCGGAAUGAUUGGGCGUAAAGGGUGCGCAGGCGGUCCUGCAAGUCUGGAGUGAAACGCAUGAGCUCAACUCAUGCAUGGCUUUGGAAACUGGAGGACUGGAGAGCAGGAGAGGGCGGUGGAACUCCAUGUGUAGCGGUAAAAUGCGUAGAUAUAUGGAAGAACACCAGUGGCGAAGGCGGCCGCCUGGCCUGUUGCUGACGCUGAGGCACGAAAGCGUGGGGAGCAAAUAGGAUUAGAUACCCUAGUAGUCCACGCCGUAAACG
This 681-nucleotide ribosomal RNA is filed under the name uncultured bacterium. Its description in RNAcentral is "bacterial SSU rRNA". It matches the Rfam family "Bacterial small subunit ribosomal RNA", at positions 141 to 808 of the family's 1533-position model. The record is from RNAcentral.